ACUCCGGUUGAUCCUGCCGGCGGUCACUGCUAUCGAGUUCCGACUAAGCCAUGCGAGUCACAGGCCGUAAGGUACUGGCAGACGGCUCAGUAACACGCGGACAAUCCACCCUUAGGUGGGGCAUAUCCUUGGGAAACUGAGGUUAAUUCCCCAUAGAUCCCGAAAACUGGAAUGUUACGGGUUCUGAAAGUUACGACGCCUAAGGACGAGUCUGCGGCCUAUCAGGUU
This 228-nucleotide ribosomal RNA is filed under the name Thermoplasmatales archaeon. Its description in RNAcentral is "partial 16S ribosomal RNA". It matches the Rfam family "Archaeal small subunit ribosomal RNA", at positions 1 to 231 of the family's 1478-position model. Lineage: Archaea; Methanobacteriati; Thermoplasmatota; Thermoplasmata; Thermoplasmatales. The record is from RNAcentral.